CCUACGGGAGGCUGCAGUGGGGAAUAUUGGACAAUGGGCGAAAGCCUGAUCCAGCAAUGCCGCGUGAGUGAUGAAGGCCUUAGGGUUGUAAAGCUCUUUUACCAGGGAUGAUAAUGACAGUACCUGGAGAAUAAGCUCCGGCUAACUCAGUGCCAGCAGACGCGGUAAUACGGAGGGAGCUAGCGUUGUCCGGAAUUACUGGGCGUAAAGCGCACGUAGGCGGUUUUUCAAGUCAGGGGUGAAAGCCCGGUGCUCAACUCCGGAGUUGCCCUUGCAACUGGAUGACUAGAGUCUUGGAGAGGUCAGUGGAAUUCCGGGUGUAGAGGUGAAAUUCGUAGAUAUUCGGAAGAACACCAGUGGCGAAGGCGCCUGACUGGACAAGUAUUGACGCUGAGGUGCGAAAGCGUGGGGAGCAAACAGGAUUAGAUACCCCUGUAGUC
RNAcentral lists this ribosomal RNA (440 nucleotides) under uncultured bacterium. Its description in RNAcentral is "partial 16S ribosomal RNA". It matches the Rfam family "Bacterial small subunit ribosomal RNA", at positions 338 to 795 of the family's 1533-position model. The record is from RNAcentral.